Molecule: non-coding RNA, 229 nt
Filed under: Klosneuvirus KNV1
Lineage: Varidnaviria; Bamfordvirae; Nucleocytoviricota; Megaviricetes; Imitervirales; Mimiviridae
Source: RNAcentral
CUUUUUAUUUAUAAAAAGUGUAGACUAUAUCUUAAACUUGUAUUUUUGACACGCAAAAAUGAUAAGCCCAUUAACUUAUAGUCGUUGAACUGCAACAAUUUAAAUUGUCUUGGCUGCUUAUUAUCCAAAUAACAAACUCAUAACAUUAGUAUUUGUUAUCUCAGGAUUUUUAUGCAAUUUGUUAAUGUCACCAUAUAUUUAAUAUAUGAUUAGCAUAUGAUUAACAUAA